Molecule: non-coding RNA, 75 nt
Organism: Myotis lucifugus (little brown bat)
Lineage: Eukaryota; Metazoa; Chordata; Mammalia; Chiroptera; Vespertilionidae
Source: Rfam
GGCGAUUCUCAGGUGACACACCCUGUAAUUGGGCUCCCUCCUCUCUGAUUUCGGGUGUGUCACCUGAGAACCUCA